This 442-nucleotide ribosomal RNA is filed under the name uncultured bacterium. RNAcentral's name for it is "partial 16S ribosomal RNA". It matches the Rfam family "Bacterial small subunit ribosomal RNA", at positions 338 to 795 of the family's 1533-position model. The record is from RNAcentral.
CCUACGGGAGGCAGCAGUAGGGAAUCUUUCACAAUGGGCGAAAGCCUGAUGGAGCAACGCCGCGUGCAGGAUGAAGGCCUUCGGGUUGUAAACUGCUUUUAUAAGCGAGAAAUAUGAUGGUAACUUAUGAAUAAGGAUCGGCUAACUACGUGCCAGCAGCCGCGGUCAUACGUAGGAUCUGAGCAUUAUCCGGAGUGACUGGGUGUAAAGAGUUGCGUAGGUGGCAUAAUAAGUAGCUAGUGAAAUCUGGUGGCUCAACCAUUCAGACUAUUAGCUAAACUGUUAAGCUCGAGACCGUUAGGGGUAACUGGAAUUUCUAGUGUAGGAGUGAAAUCCGUAGAUAUUAGAAGGAACACCAAUAGCGUAGGCAGGUUGCUGGGACGGUUCUGACACUAAGGCACGAAAGCGUAGGGAGCAAACGGGAUUAGAUACCCGUGUAGUC